ACACAAUUGCCGCCUCUCACUCUCGAUCAGUCAAUCUCUCCCUCGCAUACUCUCACACUCUCAUGAACCUCAAUCCCUCAAUCCACCCUCAAUCCCUUUCACCCUCUCCAGUUCACACACACUCCCAUCCUCCUGCGAUUCCGGCAAAGCAUGUUUGGAUAGAAGCUUGAGGACUGAACCCCAACUCCAAAAU
Molecule: long non-coding RNA, 193 nt
Organism: Rosa chinensis
Lineage: Eukaryota; Viridiplantae; Streptophyta; Magnoliopsida; Rosales; Rosaceae
Exons: 2
Source: RefSeq, a predicted model, not a curated record